AGUGAACGCUGGCGGUAGGCCUAACACAUGCAAGUCGAACGGCAGCACAGUAAGAGCUUGCUCUUACGGGUGGCGAGUGGCGGACGGGUGAGGCAUACAUCGGAAUCUACUUUUUCGUGGGGGAUAACGUAGGGAAACUUACGCUAAUACCGCAUACGAUCUACGGGUGAAAGCAGGGGAUCUUCGGACCUUGCGCGUUUGAAUGAGCCGAUGUCGGAUUAGCUAGUUGGCGGGGUAAAGGCCCACCAAGGCGACGAUCCGUAGCUGGUCUGAGAGGAUGAUCAGCCACACUGGAACUGAGACACGGUCCAGACUCCUACGGGAGGCAGCAGUGGGGAAUAUUGGACAAUGGGCGCAAGCCUGAUCCAGCCAUGCCGCGUGAGUGAAGAAGGCCUUCGGAUUGUAAAGCCCUUUUGUUGGGAAAGAAAAGCAGCGGGAUAAUACCCCGCUGUUCUGACGGUACCCAAAGAAUAAGCACCGGCUAACUACGUG
RNAcentral lists this ribosomal RNA (492 nucleotides) under uncultured bacterium. Its description in RNAcentral is "partial 16S ribosomal RNA". It matches the Rfam family "Bacterial small subunit ribosomal RNA", at positions 29 to 507 of the family's 1533-position model. The record is from RNAcentral.